CCGUCAUGAAAUUUUGUCCAAUGAUAUUCCCAUUUUCACUUUUGACAAUACCAAGACAAUAUACACGUGCUUUAUCCGGAAGACUAAGUAGUACUAUCGGGUCAGUGACAUUAAAUUGGCUUCCACCUUCCAUAACUAGAUUUAGAAUUGGAACCUCCAGAUCGUCUUGAUAUGAGCUUAUCUCAUAACAAUAUUUAAAGGGUAAACCAUAACCAAAUGAAUAGGGCUUGUCUUUUGUCUGGUUAUUGAAACUCUCAGAUAUAAAGGAAUACGCUGGUUCAUUUAGGUAUGUAAAUGAGGCACCAGAUUCGAAAAUUGCAGUGAAUUCAAGAUCAGAAUCAUACCUACCCACAUUUACUUUAGUGAUGCUGAUGUUAUAAGUUGGGUUUGACUGCAUCAGAUUGAAAGGUGUAUGUUCUUGGUAUGAGUUUCCCGUAUCUCCAAAACUGAUUCUCCCAAUUCCAUCGGGU
RNAcentral lists this unclassified non-coding RNA (470 nucleotides) under Hevea brasiliensis (rubber tree). The record is from RNAcentral. Lineage: Eukaryota; Viridiplantae; Streptophyta; Magnoliopsida; Malpighiales; Euphorbiaceae.